AUUGAACGCUGGCGGCAGGCUUAACACAUGCAAGUCGAGCGGGGUGAUGGUGGUUGCACUAUCACUUAGCGGCGGACGGGUGAGUAAUGCUUAGGAAUCUGCCUAUUAGUGGGGGACAACAUCUCGAAAGGGAUGCUAAUACCGCAUACGUCCUACGGGAGAAAGCAGGGGAUCACUUGUGACCUUGCGCUAGUAGAUGAGCCUAAGUCGGAUUAGCUAGUUGGUGGGGUAAAGGCCUACCAAGGCGACGAUCUGUAGCGGGUCUGAGAGGAUGAUCCGCCACACUGGGACUGAGACACGGCCCAGACUCCUACGGGAGGCAGCAGUGGGGAAUAUUGGGCAAUGGGGGGAACCCUGAUCCAGCCAUGCCGCGUGUGUGAAGAAGGCCUUAUGGUUGUAAAGCACUUUUAGCGAGGAGGAGGCUCUUUUGGUUAAUACCCAAGAUGAGUGGACGUUACUCGCAGAAUAAGCACCGGCUAACUCUGUGCCAGCCGCCGCAGUAA
Molecule: ribosomal RNA, 503 nt
Filed under: uncultured bacterium
Lineage: Bacteria
Description: partial 16S ribosomal RNA
Rfam family: Bacterial small subunit ribosomal RNA
Source: RNAcentral